Molecule: ribosomal RNA, 496 nt
Filed under: uncultured bacterium
Lineage: Bacteria
Description: partial 16S ribosomal RNA
Rfam family: Bacterial small subunit ribosomal RNA
Source: RNAcentral
GAUGAACGCUGGCGGCGUGCCUAAUACAUGCAAGUCGAGCGAACAGACGAGGAGCUUGCUCCUCUGACGUUAGCGGCGGACGGGUGAGUAACACGUGGAUAACCUACCUAUAAGACUGGGAUAACUUCGGGAAACCGGAGCUAAUACCGGAUAAUAUAUUGAACCGCAUGGUUCAAUAGUGAAAGACGGUUUUGCUGUCACUUAUAGAUGGAUCCGCGCCGCAUUAGCUAGUUGGUAAGGUAACGGCUUACCAAGGCGACGAUGCGUAGCCGACCUGAGAGGGUGAUCGGCCACACUGGAACUGAGACACGGUCCAGACUCCUACGGGAGGCAGCAGUAGGGAAUCUUCCGCAAUGGGCGAAAGCCUGACGGAGCAACGCCGCGUGAGUGAUGAAGGUCUUCGGAUCGUAAAACUCUGUUAUUAGGGAAGAACAAAUGCGUAAGUAACUAUGCACGUCUUGACGGUACCGAAGCAGAAAGCCACGGCUAACUACGU